This 1186-nucleotide long non-coding RNA is filed under the name Homo sapiens (human). Its description in RNAcentral is "HSALNT0387860". Lineage: Eukaryota; Metazoa; Chordata; Mammalia; Primates; Hominidae. The record is from RNAcentral.
CCAUGUGGCCCGGAACCCGCAGCCGCGUUCUGCCCGCCGGGGCCUGUCCCCGCACCGUGCCUGCAGCAUUUCAGCUGCGUCCCGGACGUUGCUAGUUGGUCCUUUUCGUGUCAGGGUGUCAUUCGAGUGAUCUAGCCGUCGAUGCCCGCCUCUGCCCUGGAGCCGCCGCCCCUCGAGCAGCAUUGAGUGACGCGGCCCUUACUGCCCGCCCGAGGCCUCUUUAGGGACAGUGGUUCUGACAGUUCUAGGACAGGCCGCCCGCGUUUGUCACGAUCUAAGGGCCGGGCGCGGUGCUCACGCUUGUAAUCCCAGCACUUUGGGAGGCCAAGGCCCAUCAGUUACAAGUCCUGUCCCUUCUGACCUCCAGGCCCCACGGCUAGCAUUACAGCCUGGAGUCAAAGUUCUGGGUGAGCUGUGUAUCUUUGGCCAAAUUCUUUGACCUCGUUGAGCCUCAGUUCCCUCAUCUGUAAGGUAAGAUGACGGCAGAACGUCACGGAGGAGCAGGGCAGGGCCCCGUUAACAGGCUGAGCCGGGCGCAGGUGAGCAGACAGCACUCGGCACAGGGCCUGUCUAGAGCCUGCAGUCACACCUCCUGCCCCUGUGGAUCCUCUCCCUGGAGAACGAGAAUACGGAUCUGGGAAAUGAGACCAAAGUACCCCCCAGGCCAGCAGGUGUGGCCAGAGGAGCUGAUGGGCAGUAGUCUGUGCCGUCCGCAUGCAGCCCUGACCAUGGUGGCCAGGACCACGAAGCUGGUAGAGGCAGCCAGGGCUGCGUGGACAGAGCAGGCCUGGAGCCCUUGCCUGGUGGGCACCUGACUCUAAGCCAGGAGGCCUUUCCUCGUCCUGGAAGGCAGGUGGCCCCUCAAGCCCAGCUUCAACCUUGGGAGAACAUGCCAUGCUGGGUGAAUCCUCAGCGCACAUCCCAGACAGAAGACUGUGAGACCUCCUUUAUUAGGCCAAGAGUGGCCAUGUGCACAGAUUUACAGAGCUGCUCCUCCCUGUGCCAGGACCGCCCAGCAUCUUCAGGAGCCUCUGGGCCAGGGGCGAGUGAGGACAGCACCAGAAUGUGGUAGGGCCAGGAGAGGCAGGACACAUGUGGUUUGGACCCCAGGGAAAGGGAAAGGGCAAGGGCAGGGAGCAGCUUGGCACGGACCUUUUUUUUUUUCGAGACAGAGUCUCGCUCUGUC